RNAcentral lists this ribosomal RNA (492 nucleotides) under uncultured bacterium. RNAcentral's name for it is "bacterial SSU rRNA". It matches the Rfam family "Bacterial small subunit ribosomal RNA", at positions 28 to 507 of the family's 1533-position model. The record is from RNAcentral.
GACGAACGCUGGCGGCGUGCCUAACACAUGCAAGUCGAACGGGGUGAUACCUUCGGGGAUCACUUAGUGGCGAACGGGUGAGUAACACGUAGGUAAUCUGCCCUACAGACGAGGAUAACGGUUGGAAACGACCGCUAAUACUGGAUAGUAAGUGAUCUCGCAUGAGGACACUUUUAAAGUUCCGUAUGGAACACUGUAGGAUGAGCCUGCGGCGCAUUAGCUAGUUGGUGAGGUAAUGGCCCACCAAGGCAAUGAUGCGUAGCCGGACUGAGAGGUUGAACGGCCACAUUGGGACUGAGACACGGCCCAGACUCCUACGGGAGGCAGCAGUAGGGAAUUUUCGGCAAUGGGGGAAACCCUGACCGAGCAACGCCGCGUGAAUGAUGAAGUAUUUCGGUAUGUAAAAUUACUUUUGUUAGAGGACGAAUAGCACUAUCAGGAGAUGGGUAGUGAAUGACGGUACUUUACGAAUAAGCUCCGGCUAACUACGUG